AUUUGUUGUUAGAAGUUAAACCAC
Molecule: small nuclear RNA, 24 nt
Filed under: Arabidopsis thaliana (thale cress)
Lineage: Eukaryota; Viridiplantae; Streptophyta; Magnoliopsida; Brassicales; Brassicaceae
Description: snRNA_00787
Source: RNAcentral